AUUGAACGCUGGCGGAAUGCUUUACACAUGCAAGUCGAACGGCAGCACGGGGGCAGCCCUGGUGGCGAGUGGCGAACGGGUGAGUAAUACAUCGGAACGUGCCCGGUCGUGGGGGAUAACGUAGCGAAAGUUACGCUAAUACCGCAUACGAUCUGAGGAUGAAAGCGGGGGACCUUCGGGCCUCGCGCGAUCGUAGCGGCCGAUGUCAGAUUAGGUAGUUGGUGGGGUAAAGGCCUACCAAGCCGACGAUCUGUAGCUGGUCUGAGAGGACGACCAGCCACACUGGGAGUGAGACACGGCCCAGGCUCCUGCGGGAGGCAGCAGUGGGGAAUUUUGGACAAUGGGCGCAAGCCUGAUCCAGCCAUUCCGCGUGCAGGACGAAGGCCUUCGGGUUGUAAACUGCUUUUGUACGGAACGAAAAGGCUCUGGCUAAUACCUGGGGCUCAUGACGGUACCGUAAGAAUAAGCACCGGCUAACUACGUG
RNAcentral lists this ribosomal RNA (484 nucleotides) under uncultured bacterium. Its description in RNAcentral is "partial 16S ribosomal RNA". It matches the Rfam family "Bacterial small subunit ribosomal RNA", at positions 30 to 507 of the family's 1533-position model. The record is from RNAcentral.